RNAcentral lists this transfer RNA (76 nucleotides) under Pseudomonas sp. 2588-5. RNAcentral's name for it is "tRNA-Val". It matches the Rfam family "tRNA". Rfam says of the family: Transfer RNA (tRNA) molecules are approximately 80 nucleotides in length. Their secondary structure includes four short double-helical elements and three loops (D, anti-codon, and T loops). Lineage: Bacteria; Pseudomonadati; Pseudomonadota; Gammaproteobacteria; Pseudomonadales; Pseudomonadaceae. The record is from RNAcentral.
GCGUGAUUAGCUCAGCUGGGAGAGCAUCUGCCUUACAAGCAGAGGGUCGGCGGUUCGAUCCCGUCAUCACCCACCA